This 5672-nucleotide long non-coding RNA is filed under the name Sus scrofa (pig). RNAcentral describes it as "lncRNA (ENSSSCG00040045425.1)". The record is from RNAcentral. Lineage: Eukaryota; Metazoa; Chordata; Mammalia; Artiodactyla; Suidae.
UUUUUUUUUUUGUCUGUUUUGUUUUUGGCUUUUGUUUGUUUUUGCUUUUUCGGGCUACACCCAUGGCCUAUGGAAGUUCCCAGGCUAGGGGUCGAAUCAGAGCUAUAGCUGUCGGCCUACCCCACAGCCACAGCCAGGCAGGAUCCAAGCUGCGUCUGUGACCUACACCACGGCUCACAGCAAUGUCGGAUCCUCAACCCACAGAGCGAGGCCGGAUCCUCAACCCAUCGAGCGAGGCCAGGGAUCGAACCCGCAUCCUCAUGGAUACCCAUCGGGUUUUUAACCCGCUGAGUCACAAUGGGAACUCCCUGUUUGUUAGUUUUUGGGUUUUUUUCUUUUCUUUUUUUUUGGGGGGGGGGUGUUUUAAAAUUUUUUUUCCCUGGCAAAUCAAGGUGCCCACAGGUUCCCAAGAUACAGGAUGCCUCUUACCUCUUUCUUUGUACUCUCAGCUGCCCCGCUUGCAACACCCCUCCCUCUCUCAUCCUCUUUGCAAACCUUUUCUGGAAAAUUCUGCUCCUCCUGUCUCCAUCCAGGCCCGAAGCACAUCCGGCUUUCCCACGCUGUCCCCUCCACUUACCACCCUGUAUUGUCAUCUACUGGUGUCUGUGGACAGACUGUGAACUCUGGGGGGGAUGACGAUGGCCGUUCGGGGCAGUCGGCACGGAGUAGGGGUUCAGCGAAGGGUGAAAACACCAGCCUGAUGAAGUCUACAGAGCGGGUGGCAGGAGCCUCAUUUUGCGACUAAGAACGUUUAAUUCGGAAAGGUGAAGUCACGAGGGUCCUUCCACGGCAGCACGAAGUGGAUACCACCUGACUCUCAUUUCCUGUGGUCCCUCGAGUUCUGCGAGCGACAGGAAAUACAAGUUUCCUGGAUGCUCUGGAGCAUCUAUACCUUGCCUCCUUUUGAGAAUGGACACCUGGAAGGGCAGCCUUAUGCAAUUCACCAUUAUCAGCGCAUCUAGUGUAACUCAGAGCCCAGGCAGCCAAGCGCUAAAUUAACAUUACUCUUCUCCGUGGAGGUGAUGGGGCUCUGAACAGGCACGAGAUGCCUGCAUAACUUUGAAGAAGAGAUUUACACACCCCUUUGUCUCCCGUAUAAAUGGACUCAAGGGCUGCAGCAGUGCAUAAAUGAUCUUUUCUUUCCACUGUUUAUAGUUGAAAGCAGCCGUUUUCAGCUUCUUGCCGGUGAUCACUCCCCUAAAAAUAGCUUUGAUGCUGUCACAUGCAAACUUGAGCAGAACCUGAAAGCAUUCCCCUUUUAGUUCUGAGCGGGCUCAACUUUAAAAGAGAGGCAGCUGUUAACAUACUCCAGUGUGUUUACAUGAUGCUGAAGUAGUUUGGCUCCAAGUUUAAUAAAAAAACAAAAAAAAAAACAAAAAACACUAAAAAGGGACAGAAAUGGGGUUGCAGCAUCUGGUGACGACAUUUCUUUCUGCUGAACUGGAGCAACAGGGAGGUUGGCAGGGAAAAUCCAAAAGGCCCAGCUUCAAGGGGGAAACAGACUGGAGCACAACUGUGGUGAUGAUGGGAGCGAGAUGCUUCUUCCUGCCAUGGGAGAUUCCCGACUCUGCUUGGGGUGGGGGUCAGGGAGGUGGCAGAGAAAAUGAUACAACAGAGAAGAGGACUUAUAACCCAGGGGUACUUUCUUACUGUUGGUUGAGACCAACGAAGAGCUGUUUUUAGAAAUCAAGGACACUGGGAGUUCCCACAGUGGCUCAGCGGAAGAAAGUUUGACUAGCAUCCACGAGAACGCAGGUUCAAUCCCUAGCCUCGCUCAGUGGGUUAAGGAUCCAGCGUUACUCUGUGCUGUGCUGCAGGUCCCAGAUGCGGCUCAGAUCUGGCGUUGCUGUGGCUACAGCUCUAAUUCGACCCCUUGCCUGGGAACCUCUGUAUGCUGUGGGUGUGGUCCUAAUAUGACCAAAGAAAAAAGAAAAAGAAAAAAAGAAAUCAAGGACACAAAGAAUGAAAGAAUGAAACACAUUCGAUACUUUGGCCAGUGCUUGGAUGCCUUGUAUUGGUUCACUGGGCAACCGGACCUCUCUGGUCGUUUUCAGAAACCAGACCCAAACUGAAGGGAGAGCAGCGUAUGGGCUUGGAAACCAGAGCAAACUCAGACUUUCAUCCCAGCUCCUCCUCUUCUGGCCCAAGGGGGUCUGCUGUGUUUCCCUAUUUUCCGCCCAGGGUAUGAAGGUGAAAGGGAGAAAACAUAGGCUGAAGUGCCAGGUGGAGUGUGUGACCCCUAAUAAUCAGCAGUGUCCUUUAGAAAUCUGUGACUGGAAGAGAGUGUCUGGGGUCAAGUCUGGAAUAUAAGCAAUUCAUUAAAAAAAAAAAGCAUCCAUCAAGAGAAUGGAUGUGUGUACGUGUAUAACUGAAUCCCUCUGUUGUACAGCAGAAAUGACCACAACUGUACGUCGAUAAAACUUUAAAAAAUGAAAAAAAGCACUGAUCAAAUAGUGUUUUUUCUUCUUUCUUAAUAUUAAUUAAUAUUCCUUCUUAAUUCUUAAUAUCCAAAGGAUGACCCACAUCCUUAGGAAGUGAGGUUUUGUCCUAGAAAACUUGCACAGAGCCUGGCUGAGCUGAGCUGGAGGGGACGAGGGCCCUGGCCACCAGAGGACUUCUCAGAGCAGCUGGGUGCUCAGUGCCAGCCUGCCAGGAGAUGGGACCCUCAGGUCAGGGAUGACACAGUGGGGUUCCCUUGCCCAUGCACCAGAGUCCUCCCUUUGGGACGUUCAUGCUGGAAACCCACAUGUACGUCACAACCCAGAAUUUAACAAGAACUCAGAUUCUUAGAGGGCAACUUGGAGAAAACAACACCUCUCUUCCAUCGCACGCUAUAAAUUUGAGCGGGGCACACUGAGGUUCUAUUAGUGCAAGAAUUUAUCACCUAAGUUGUAUGUAUUUGAACAACAGAACAGACUUUAUAUACUGCUGUUUCCUGAACACUCAUUUUUUGGUUAACAAGACAAAAGAAUUUACAGUCACUGCCAACAGCUUGCUGGCAGCUAAUACCCCGAUUAGCCGUUGCCUGGCAACAGUCAAGCAUGCUUCCUCCCAAAUCAGGAAGAACCACGGCUAAAUCUAGACUAAUUACAAAAUGGGACAAAUAUUUAAAAGCUUUAUAUUUAUUAAGGCUUUGGGGAGGGUAUCCUAGCAAGAAUGAGUCCUACUGAACAAAUUUAACUAAAGAGAGUACAUAUCUGUCUUUGUUUCGGUGUUCCAUGCUAUGCAGAUCAUUUUAGGAAAACCGGGCAUUUUUGCAUCUUUCCCAGUUUCCCCAAAUAUUGUACUAAACAAAACCAUGCGCUUAUAUUUUGCGGGAGCAUGUCUUUUGCCUACUCCUCUAAGAAUAAGGAUGAAAAGGAGCGCUGGAAACACCCUAGCCUUGUCAUACACACAGACCUGCACAGAUAUAAGGAAGCUACUAUCACAAUUCUCGCAACUCUCCCAGAGACAUCUGCACGGAAAGCUCAGCAGCUUUCUGCCUUCAUUUCUACCUUCAUCUGCAUUCUUACUUCCUUCUCUUUCAAGAGGCACUCAGAGUUCUCUGGGUGGUGAACAAAUCCAGAGUUUUUUCAGAGUCCACCAGGGCUGGCCACCCUGCCAUACAGGCUAUGUUGCUGGUGGCAAAGUUCUGAACAAUCAAAGUUCUAAAGUCAAGAGACCUGGCUGGGAGGUCCCAUUGUGGCGCAGCGGAAACAAAUCUGACUAGGAACCAUGAGGACGCGGGUUUGAUCCCUGGCCUCGCUCAGUGGGUUAAGGAUCCAGCAUGGCCAUGAGCCGCAGGGUAGGUCGCAGAGGCAGCUCGGAUCUGGUGUUGCUGUGGCUGUGGUGUAGGCUGGCAGCUGUAGCUCUGAUUCGACCCCUCGACUGGGAACCUCUACAUGCUGUGAGUGUGGCCCUAAAAAGACCAAAAAAAAAAGAGAGAGAGAGAGAGAGAAGGAAAGUGGAAAGAUCUUCAGGUUUUGUCAACAUAGAAGGACAUGGCAAUUUGGAAGGGGAGCCCAAGAGUAAUUUUAACAUCAAAAUAAAAAUUGUGUCCAUUCCCCUGGUCCUGCUUGCUGGGUAGAAUCAGCUCUCCUAAAACGAACAUGCAUCUUCUAGAAUUAGCUCAGGGCCUGGUUCUCUGCAGAUGGACCCAGUUGCUGGGGCCACAAAGGCCCACGGUUUGCUCUGAAAAUUAUCCUCAUAUUUUCAGGCUGAGGUGGGUAAGAGUUACUCUGACCGGGGGCACGUGGUGAACCCGCUGGUCUGCUGAUGCUUCUGGCCCACACUCUGCUCAGGAAAAAGUGCCACCCCGCCCAGCACGCAGAGGCAGGGUGGCCAUGCUUCACCCCACACGAGCCCACCCCAAGGGCCACGACUGUCUGGGCUGGGGUAGAACCUGAGCCCGGGCAGCCCGCAAGGGACAUCAGUUUGGGGUGACCUUUACCCUACGUGGCCUAGCUCAAAAUGAGGAGCUGAGCCCUUCCGAGUCCUCGGGCCUGGAAUCAUAAGAACAGGCUCUGAGGAGGUCAUGGAAGCAGAUGCUGCCAGGAAGUUGUUGGGGCCUGAGGAGACCUCAGGGAUGGCCGAAGCUGUGGGGGAGCUGGAGGGAGCAGAGGAGCCCAGCUUGGACAGGGGAAUGGAGCCACGGGCAGAGGAGGACAGAGAGGCCUGAGCGGCAGUAUCUGAAACUCCUGAGGGCUCACUGGAGCCUGGGGUUCGGUGUUCUAGGCUCUAGGCUGCACUGUGGUCCCCAUGCAUGCAUGUGGGAUUUCCCUGACCCCUACAAAUCAUUGUGAUAGGGUUUUGUGUGUGUGUGUGUGUGUGUAUAAUGCAAUGGAUGAUAUUGAUUUUUGAAUGUUGAACCAGCACUGCAGGUAGGAUAAAUCCCACUUGGCCAUGUGUAGUGUUCUUUUCAUAUACAGUUGGAUUUUAUUUGCUAAUGUUUUGUCGUGCAUUUUUCCAUCUAUUUUCAUGAGUGAUACUGGCCUAUAAUUUUCCUUUCUUGGAACACCUUUAUCUGGUUUUGGUCUUAGGACAAUGCUGGCCUCGGAAUGAGUUAGAAAGUAUUCCCUCUGCUUCUAUCCUCUGAAAGAGACUGGCAAGAGUUAGUAGAAUUUCUUCCUUAACUGUGUGGUAGAAUUCACCAGUGAGCCCAUCUGGGCCUGGGGCUUUCCGUGUGGGAAGGUUAUUAAUUAUUGACUCAAUUUCUUUCAUAAACAUACUUCUUCCUGUGUGAGUUUUGGCAAACUCUAUCUCUCAGGGAACUGGUCCAUUUAAUCUGGGUUAUAAAAUUUGUGGGCAAAGAACUUUUCAUAAUUAUUUAUUAUCCAUUUUCAAUGUCUGCGGGAUCUGUACUGAUGACCUUUCUUCCAUUUCUUCUUCUUUUUUUUUUUUUUUUUUUUUUUUUGGGCUGUGCCCACAGCAUGGGAAAGUUUCUGGGCCAGGGGUCAAACUCACGCCACAUCAGUAACUAGAACCACAGCAAUGACAAUGCCAGAUCCUCUAUCCACUGAACCAAGAGGGAACGUCACUUCAUUCCUAAUAUUACUACUAUGCGUCCUCUCUUUGUGUGUCUUAGUUAGCCCAGCUAAAGGCUCAUCAAUUUUAGGAUCUAUUCGAAAAACCGGCUUUUGGUUUUAAGUGAGUUUUCUCUACUGAUUUCCUCUUAUCAAUUUCACUGAUUUCUG